This 73-nucleotide transfer RNA is filed under the name Pelobates cultripes (western spadefoot toad). RNAcentral's name for it is "tRNA.Val". It matches the Rfam family "tRNA". Rfam says of the family: Transfer RNA (tRNA) molecules are approximately 80 nucleotides in length. The record is from RNAcentral. Lineage: Eukaryota; Metazoa; Chordata; Amphibia; Anura; Pelobatidae.
GUCUCUGUAGUGUAGUGGUUAUCACGUUCGCCUAACACGCGAAAGGUCCCUGGUUCGAAACCGGGCAGAAACA